GAUGAAGAACGUAGCGAAAUGCGAUACUUGGUGUGAAUUGCAGAAUCCCGUGAACCAUCGAGUCUUUGAACGCAAGUUGCGCCCGAAGCCAUUAGGCCGAGGGCACGCCUGCCUGGGCGUCACACGUCGUUGCCCCCCCAUCUACUCCUUUGGGAUUGCGGGGGGCGGAUGAUGGCCUCCCGUGCGCCUCGCCGCGCGGUUGGCAUAAAUGCCAAGUCCUCGGCGACGCACGCCACGACAAUCGGUGGUUGCGAAACCUCGGUUGCCCGUCGUGUGCGGUCGUCGCGCAUCGAGGGCUCGAAAAAAUUGCCGGGUUCCGGCUCGGCUUUCAACGCGACCCCAGGUCAGGCGGGGUUACCCGCUGAAUUUAAGCAUAUCAAUAAGCGGAGGA
RNAcentral lists this unclassified non-coding RNA (391 nucleotides) under soil metagenome. RNAcentral's name for it is "partial contains 5.8S ribosomal RNA, internal transcribed spacer 2, and large subunit ribosomal RNA". The stretch from base 1 to 122 matches the Rfam family "5.8S ribosomal RNA", at positions 35 to 154 of the family's 154-position model. The record is from RNAcentral.